GACAUAUCAAAAGUUUACCAAAUAGGGAGAGUUUCUCAUCACCCAAGUUUCAAUUGGACAGAAACUUGGAAUCAUGCAAUGUGUAUUGUAUGAUGAAUGAAAAACUUUCACAUUUGGGAAAUUUAGACUAAUUCUUUGACAAAGUGUCAAUUGAAGGACUAGGAGAUCGAGUACACUAGGUCGUACGUUGAUCAAGUCUACCACAAGAGUGACAAAGAUAUUCGUCAUGAUUUACUAAAGUUUAGUAAAUAUGGUUAUACUUAUAAGAUUGAGUAUAAUUCUGAGUUAACUGAAAUAGUUUCAAUCAAUAGCAGAACGAAUAAGAAGAAUCAAGAAGGCAGAAAGAUAAAAGUUUCUCCAUUCUAAGAAGAAGGGAGAGUACCUUUUAUUGUGUUUUAUGAUGAAGUCUUAAUGAUUAAGAACCAUAUCUCAAUUGAUCCUCUAAGUGAGUCUUAGUGCAUUUGCAUGUCUAAGAAGAGGAAUCGAGAAUUGUAGAAAUGGUUAAAUCAAAGAGUCAAUCAUACUUCGUUCCAAUAUCAAGUCUUAGAGUCAUACUCCAAGAUUGUGACAUUGAGUGACAAGUCUUAAGUAGGUUUAUAACACUCAUCAAAUGUGGAAUUUGGAAAAGUUUUCUUAUUCUUGCACAUUAGAAAUUGGUAAGUUGUGAUGUCUUGGAUAAGACAAAGACCAACUAGGACCAAUUUGUGAAGUGUUUUGUCUUGAUAAGAACUACACUAACUCUUGAAUAUUUGGUUUGUCAAGAAAUGUUUCUUGACAAGAGAAUCUUAUAUGUCAAGGAGUCAGUGGGAGUCUUAAUGGUCUUGAAAGGUUUCAAGAACAAAUCAAGAAUAAACCUUAUCGAUCAUCACUAGCACACGACUUGAGGUUUACAACCUAUCGUGCUGACAUUAUUUUGUUUCUGUGCCAUUCCAAUUGAGUUAAUUGUGUAUGUGAGUUCUAUGAGUUCUCAUUUGAAUGCAUACUAGAGCCUUAGUCGAUGGAAAGUACAUUGAUAUGUAUGGACAAGUUAGUAAACUACUUUGAAGACAUGGUGGGCACUCGUGUUACCACAGGGCAAGAAAUCAAGAUUAAGAAAGUUCAGUCCAUAUGAGUUUGNNNNNNNNNNNNNNNNNNNNNNNNNNNNNNNNNNNNNNNNNNNNNNNNNNNNNNNNNNNNNNNNNNNNNNNNNNNNNNNNNNNNNNNNNNNNNNNNNNNNUUGAAAAGUUCAAGCUCACUCAAGCCCUUUUGGCAAGUAAACACGCAGAUGGGAGACCUGUGUGUGCACAUGUCUUAGAGAUGAUGUCGCACAUUGAUAGGUUAAGCAUGUUGGGUGUCGAGAUUUCAAGCAAGUUGGCCACUGACUGGGUUCUUCAGUCACUUCCUGAAUCAUAUAGUGAGUUCGUUAUAGAGUACUAUAUGAUGGAUCACGACGUGACCCUCAUUAAUCUCACCUAUUCACUUAUAGCUGCUGAAUCAGCAAUGAUUUGGCGUGCUGGUCAAACAAAUUUGUCUGGUGAAUCAAACUCCCAAACUUCGAUGGACACUGGCAACAUUGGAAGUCCAGAAAGAACUAAGUCUGUGAUUGUCCGAUGUGCUGUGCCAAAGGAGUCCAUUUGCUUUUAUUGCCAGGAGAAGGGGCAUUGGAGACGAAGCUGUCCUAACUACCUGAGAGAUCUAAGAGAUGGGAGAGUCAAGACGUAUGGCUCUAUUUCAGGUAAAAUCCAUUAUCUAAAUCUUUUGAGUUCCUAUUCUAGAUUCUUAAUACAUGAUGUGAUAAGAUUACAUUUUGAUGUUUUGAAGGAUCGAAGAAAAGAGAGGAAGCUUAAUGGAAAAGUGAGCUGAAUCUGAUCGUGAAGAAAUGGAUUUCUAUUGCAUUACUUGAAGAUUGGAUUCUUGAGCUACUACUUUGAGUUAGAAUAGCUUGUUAAGAAAUAUGUAAUAACAUAGUUUUUCGGUUGAAUUGCAUUGUAAGGACAAUUUUUUUCUGCAAUAAAAUGAAUUUUUAUUUUACCUUAUUUAUUUAUCCUUGCAAUGGCAUGUACGAAAAAUUGAUGUUUGUGUACUUCUAUUAUUAGCAAAAUGGAUUUGAUUCUUAAUUAUGUUAUUUGUGGAAAUGUCGAAAGUUUACCAAAUUGGGAGAGUUUCUCAUCGCCCAAGUUUCAAUUGGACAGAAACUUGGAAUCAUGCAAUAUGUAUUGUAUGAUGAAUGAAAAAUUUCACAUUUGGGAAACUUAGACUAAUUCUUUGGCAAAGUGUCUAUUGAAGGACAAGGAGAUCAAGUACACAAGGUUGUGCGUUGAUCAAGUCCACCACAAGAGUGACAAAGAUAUUCGUCAUGAUUUACUGAAGUUUAGUAAAUAUGAUUAUAUUUAUAAGAUUAAGUGUAAUUCUGAGUUGAUUGAAAAAGUUUCAAUGAAUAGUAGAACGAAUAAAGAAGAAUCAAGUAGGCAGAAAGAUAAAAGUUUCUCUAUUCUAAGAAGAAGGGAGAGUACCUUUUAUUGUAUUUUAUGAUAAGUCUUAAUGAUUAAGAACCAUGUCUCAAUUGAUCCUCUAAGUGAGUCUUAGUGCAAUUGCAUGUCUAAGAAGAGGAAUCGAGAAUUGUAGAAAUGGUUAAAUCAAGAAGUCAAUCAUACUUCGUUCCAAUAUCAAGUCUUAGAGUCAAGAUUGUGACAUUGAGUGAAAAGUCUUAAGUAGGUUUAUAACACUCAUCAAAUGUGGAAUUUAGAAAAAAGUUUCCUUAUUCUUGCACAUUUGAAAUUGGUAAGUUGUGCUGUCUUGGAUAAGACAAAGACCAACUAGGACCAAUUAUGUGAAGUGUUUUGUCUUGAUAAGAACUACACUAACUCUUGAAUAUUUGCUUUGUCAAGAAAUGUUUCUUGACAAGAGAAUCUUAUAUGUCAAGGAGUCAGUGGGAGUCUUAAUGGUCUUGAAAGGUUUCAAGAACAAAUCAAGAAUAAACCUUAUCGAUCAUCACUAGCACACGACUUGAGGUUUACAACCUAUCGUGCUGACAUUAUUUUGUUUCUGUGCCAUUCCAAUUGAGUUAAUU
This 3049-nucleotide long non-coding RNA is filed under the name Lactuca sativa (garden lettuce). RNAcentral describes it as "long non-coding RNA (LSAT_LNC003915)". The record is from RNAcentral. Lineage: Eukaryota; Viridiplantae; Streptophyta; Magnoliopsida; Asterales; Asteraceae.